RNAcentral lists this long non-coding RNA (1185 nucleotides) under Nicotiana tabacum (common tobacco). RNAcentral's name for it is "long non-coding RNA (NTAB_LNC008962)". Lineage: Eukaryota; Viridiplantae; Streptophyta; Magnoliopsida; Solanales; Solanaceae. The record is from RNAcentral.
CAUUACUCUUUUAAUCUUUUCCCCUUAUUUCUAAGGAUUGGAAUUAGAAUUAGGUUUCUCAAUAAGUGAAGAACAGAUCGGCCGUGAGCUUGUGGCUGCGAGUCUACCACUGCGAGUGUUGCGACUGCGAUAGAGACGGCGUCACGAUGACUUAACGACCACGGCGCCGACGACUCUCAAGUGUGACGGCUUGUUUCCUCAUUUUUAACCUUCAAUCUUCAACUUUUUAACAGGUUCACAACUUCUUCAUUCUUCAUUAUUCAAUCUUCAUUAAGUUAGUACGUUGAAUAAUUGACUCAAGGAUAAUAUAGUAAGUACAGAAGUAAUAUUUUGGUGUCUAGUCUAUAGUUAAGUCGUGGAGACUUAUUGGUAGUUGGACGCCAUUUACAAAAUACAUUUUACCACUUGGCCUGGGCGAAAUUAAGAGGGAAAGAACUAACUUAUGUGCUAUUUGCAACUUGUUAUUCAGCUUUUCAGUAGUUUGGGUGUACACAAACAGAUUUAAGGGACUGUUUUAUCGUAGCUAUUGUAGUUUCCACUAGGUCUCUUUUCCUUAGGCAUUGUGAUACUAAACCCAGUUGUUUAUUUACACUUGUUUAUUUGUAUGACAUAUGUAUUUGGUUGAAUUAUCUUUGGAUAUGGAAAAUAAUGGAAGCACUACUACCAUUGUUUGAUCACUUUAACGUAUAGUUGCAGUGGUGAGUUUAAUAUUCUAUUUGUUUGGUCAUAUACUUUUGCAGUUUUUUUCUUUUAUCAUCAAAAAAUAAUAUUCUAACUUAUGAUUUUAUCUUCUUUUUUUAGGUUCAAGUUCAAUAAUGCCAUGUGUUCCUAAAGUUGAUUCGAGAGUCGAGACUAUUUGUGUUAUUUUGAUUUUUGAGAAUUUGUUUAACUUAUUUAAGCUUAAUGUGUUAGACACUUAGACUUAUGGCGUUAUGGGCCAGUGUUCUUAUCGUUUUAUGUUGAUGUUGUUGCUGGUUGCCUGCUUAUUAGUUAAACUUAUAACUUUAUGUUUGGCAUAAUGGCAGUAACCAAUAGGUUUGAAAACUUUGCAUAAUGUUGUUGUUGCUGUGAGCGUGUAACACUUUAGUUGUUAUUACUUAUUGGUGUAAACUUAAAUUUUCCUUUUAGUCAGAAUCUUUCGUUUCAUAUUAGUAUUAAAUUUAGUCAUUAUCAUUUUAAUUUCCA